CUUAGAGAACCCUUGUUAUUAUUCGGGAAGGAGAAGAGAAUUCCCUUAAACAAUUCUGAUUGGAAUGAGAAUAUAGACAUAUACAAAAUAGCAGGGAUGGAUACGAGGAGGUGGGUCCCCUCCUCUCCCCAUUGUUAUCCCUGGACAUGUUCUAAUUUUUUAUAUACAGCUGUCGUUCGUGACCGAUGGUAAUUAAGAUUAAAAUAAUUUAUCUUACAUUAGAUACGGAUCAAAUGUAGCCAGAAUGCCAAAAUGAUGAUUAAUUAAUUAACGUUUGAUGACACCAUCCUACAAAUGAUGAUAAAUUAUUAUCUGUUUUAAAGGAAAGUAAUAAUUUUUGUUUGGGGAAACUCUGGGUGGUAAAGGGGGCCAAUAAUUCAGUGACACGAGAUGAAUAAAGUCAGCUAAGUGAAGUCAAUUCGUUUGACCAAAUGACAAUCUCAAAGGUUAGAAGAUAAGCCCCAUCAGGAAAAACAAUAGUUCUAGUAAAUAUAAAUAAAAAAUUUCUUGAGCAAAGCAAUAGGAGGGACCAUGUCGGUUGUUUUUUGCUAUCCUCUACAAAGUAGCAGGAUCAUUGCUCGAGCUUCCUCCACAUGGCAAAAAGUGAGGACCACAAGAGGGAUAAAGGAAUUUGUUGCUCGCCAAGCUUACUUGGUCAAUACCAAGUGAACAAAAGAAAAUGACAAAAAUAGCCCCACUUAAGAAAGGCAGCACCAAUAGAAAAUAUCCAUGUGGCAAAAAUGAUGAAAAUGCGCCUAAGGCACCUGUACUAUAAAUUCAGCUCAAGACACAAGACAAAUGGAUUAUUUCAGAUCUGAUUUCUUGCUUGAAAGACUGCUUUAUCUUCUUCUUCUUUCUCUAUUUUUACACCUCCAUGGAAGAUUUUGGCCAUCUCAUCUCUCAUGGAAGAUUUUUCCUUUUUCUUUUCUUAAAAACUCCCUAAUCUCCAUAAAAUAUACAUCAUCUUCAUCUUAUUACUCAAUAUAAACAACAUUUAAUAAGGUUUUGUUGAUAUUGCAAAGUAAAUCAUGUAAUACUUCAUAUACAUAGUGGAUUGGAGAUGAUUACUCCUGCAAAUGUAGGACAAAGGGUCGAACCAAAUAAAAGCUUGUAUGUUCUUUAUUAUUUAUACUUAUUUUUUGCUUAUUAUGUCCAUAGAUAAGCUUUCUAGAUCUAUCCUAGAAUUCACCAAAGUCAUCCCCUGAGCUCUUUUAAGGUCUUCAUGUUAAAUCUCAAAAUUAACUCUCACGAUCUUUAGUAAGUUCUCUAUAUCAGUUCACCUCCCAAAUCACCUUAGUUCACCUUUCAAAUUAUCUCAUAACAAGCCUAUAAAGAUAGGGUGACCCUAAGUUACGUUAAGUGUAUCUUAUGUUUUCUGUCUUUUUCUUCUGGCAAUUUUCAUACAAGUCCUUAUUUUUAUUACUUUUAUAUUUAAGGAUGCAUUUGCCUUCUUCUAUCACUUAUACACCUAUUUUUCAUUCUUUCUAAUGUUUUCUUUAUUUCUUUAAACAACAAUGUAUGGUUAUCAAAUUUAUAUAAAUCUGUAAAUUCAGAAUAAAUUUCUAGUCCUAAAUUUAUUAUUCCCAUUCUUUCUUGUUCUAACAGUUCUAUUUUUUGGGUUAUUUGAUUUAUAUAGCUUGUUAUAAUAUUUUCCUAGCCUAGAUUCAUGUGAUCUAUAGUUUCUGCUAAAUUAUGUAUCACAUUAAAAGCAUGUUGGUUCAUGGUAGUGCUUCUUUUUUGUACUAGUAUACUAAAAACUUUAUAAAUUCAUCUAUGAAUUUCAUUUUCUUUUCUAUUAAAAUCUCACCUCCUACAGUAUCUAUAUUUCUUUCUUGUAAUUCUUGAGUUAAUUCAAGCUCGAUAUUUCGGAUGUUAUUCUUCUCAGAUUUUAUAGACAUUAUUAAAUUUUUUAUUUCUUCUUUCUCAAAUACUUUUAAAGUAUAUAAACUCUCUAUUAUAUUUUUUAUAGGAUCCAUGGCUCUGAUACCAUUUUAUGGGUAGAUAAAAAAAAACCAAAAAACACAAUAAAAUAAAUAAAUUAAAAAACAAAAAGAAAACAAAAACCAAUUAAGUCAACAAAAUUAAACAAAACAAAUAAAUAAAUAAUAUUAAGUAGUUGAAUCAAACUAUUCGGAUAAUAGAAUUUUGAUGCAAAAAUUCUAAAAGAUAUAUCUAUUUUAUGUCUUUAUUAUUAUUAUUAUUCAUCUAAAAGAAUAUAUCUAUCAUAUCUUAUAUUAUCAUUAUUUCUUAAAUAUAAGGCUAUAACUUCUUCCCCAUUAAUUAUACUAGGUAUAUUUCCGGGAAAACUAGGAACAUAAAAAUCAUAAUAAUUAUUAUGAGUUUCUAUAAUAUAUGUAGGGUUAUUAAUCUGAUUUAAAAUUUCUAAAUUAUAAGAUAUGUAAGAUAUGUUUACUGGAUAACAGAAUAUUUCUAAUUUUAUGAAAUAUAUAUUAUUAUUUAUUAUAUUAGUAUAAUAUCUUGUUUCCCUGUAUGUGUUCAUGAUUACAGAAUAUUAUACCGACUUAAGGUCUUAUAUUUCUAGUUCUUCAUUAUCUGAAUUAUCUAUAUAUUCUAUGUAUGAGGGGUCUAUUCUUAAACUUUCAUUUUCUAUUUUAGCUUUAAUUAUAUCAAUAGUUUCAUCUAUAGUUAACAUUGUGAUUAAGUGUUUUAGAUUAUCUAUUUCUAAAAUGUUUAAAAUUCUUCGUUUUAUUUCUGGUGGUAAUUCUAGUGUAUAUAUAGCUUCUAUCUCUUCUUUACUAAUAAGUUCUUCUUUGCUAAAUAUGUAUGAACUUUACUUAAAAGAUUCAAGAUUAAAAUCUAUUAUCAUCAUGUAGUUAUUAUAUGUUAUCCUAGUUGUAGGAUUUAUCAUUUUUUCUUUUGGAUUUCCACGUCCUAAUCUAACACUCAUAUUUUGAUAAACACUCAUUUUCCUUAUUUUUAACAAUUUUGAUUAAUGAUUUGAAUAAGAUUCACUUCUGAGAGAUGCUCAUCCACCAUCAAUCUCUUCAUCUACAAUCAUUACCAAACUUCCACCAUGAGAUAAGGUUAGAGAAUUAUUACCUAAGUUAUCCUUUUUUCUUCGUCUUAAGAUCUGUCUCCAGUGACCUGCAGCCUAUGCGUCCUUCAUUCCCUCAACGGCCUCCUGCCUUAACGGGAUCAAGCGGACUCCAAUGGCCUUUCUGUAUGGAUCUUGAUCUUCUUUCUUAGAAAUAAAGAUAAUUUUAGGUUUCUCUUUCCUUUCUAUGGGGUUGUUUGUUUUCCUUUCUAUGGGAUAAUUUUAGGUUUCUCUUUCCUUUCUAUGGGGUUGUUUGUUUAUGAUUGAUGAUGUAUUGAUUUCUGGUUUCGAGCUUAAGAGAAUUUAGCUAUUCAUUUUUCAGAGAGUUGUUUCCUCCAAAAAAAAUAUUGCCAAAGUGAAGUAUGGUGUGUAAUCUGAGCCUCUUGCUCUUUCCUCUUUCUUUUUAUUUCAAAACUUUUGUUUCGAGAUUACAUUCUUGCCCUUUUGGCUUUUUUCAAUUAGUACAAAUGCU
This 3527-nucleotide long non-coding RNA is filed under the name Citrus sinensis (sweet orange). RNAcentral's name for it is "long non-coding RNA (CSIN_LNC001057)". The record is from RNAcentral. Lineage: Eukaryota; Viridiplantae; Streptophyta; Magnoliopsida; Sapindales; Rutaceae.